This 575-nucleotide ribosomal RNA is filed under the name Cryptococcus sp. LMSA2.08.021. RNAcentral describes it as "eukaryotic LSU rRNA". It matches the Rfam family "Eukaryotic large subunit ribosomal RNA", at positions 86 to 649 of the family's 3401-position model. Lineage: Eukaryota; Fungi; Basidiomycota; Tremellomycetes; Tremellales; Cryptococcaceae. The record is from RNAcentral.
ACGGCGAGUGAAGCGGGAAGAGCUCAAAUUUGAAAUCUGGUAGCCUUCGGCUGCCCGAGUUGUAAUCUAGAGAAGUGUUUUCCGUGCCGGCCCAUGUACAAGUCCCUUGGAACAGGGCGUCAUAGAGGGUGAGAAUCCCGUCCUUGACAUGGACCCCCGGUGCUUUGUGAUACACUUUCAACGAGUCGAGUUGUUUGGGAAUGCAGCUCAAAAUGGGUGGUGAAUUCCAUCUAAAGCUAAAUAUUGGCGAGAGACCGAUAGCGAACAAGUACCGUGAGGGAAAGAUGAAAAGCACUUUGGAAAGAGAGUUAAACAGUACGUGAAAUUGUUGAAAGGGAAACGAUUGAAGUCAGUCAUGCUCUUUGGAUUCAGCCGUUCUGCGGUGUAUUUCCAUUGAGUGGGGUCAACAUCAGUUUUGACCGCUGGAUAAAGGCACUAGGAAGGUAGCACUCUCGGGUGAACUUAUAGCCUAGCGUCAUAUACAGUGGUUGGGACUGAGGAACGCAGCAUGCCUUUAUGGCCGGGAUUCGUCCACGUACAUGCUUAGGAUGUUGACAUAAUGGCUUUAAACGACC